Molecule: ribosomal RNA, 447 nt
Filed under: Copelatus sp. MB0444
Lineage: Eukaryota; Metazoa; Arthropoda; Insecta; Coleoptera; Dytiscidae
Description: SSU rRNA
Rfam family: Eukaryotic small subunit ribosomal RNA
Source: RNAcentral
AAGGCUCAUUAAAUCAGUUAUGGUUCCUUAGAUCGUACCCACAUUUACUUGGAUAACUGUGGUAAUUCUAGAGCUAAUACAUGCAAACAGAGUUCCGACCGGAGACGGGAGGAAUGCUUUUAUUAGAUCAAAACCAAUCGGCGGCGGGUGCGUUCGCGCGCCCGUUCGCCGCUCAACCUGGUGACUCUGAAUAACUUUCGGCUGAUCGCACGGUCCAGCACCGGCGACGCAUCUUUCAAAUGUCUGCCUUAUCAACUGUCGAUGGUAGGUUCUGCGCCUACCAUGGUCGUAACGGGUAACGGGGAAUCAGGGUUCGAUUCCGGAGAGGGAGCCUGAGAAACGGCUACCACAUCCAAGGAAGGCAGCAGGCGCGCAAAUUACCCACUCCCGGCACGGGGAGGUAGUGACGAAAAAUAACGAUACGGGACUCAUCCGAGGCCCCGUAAU